Molecule: non-coding RNA, 46 nt
Organism: Trichobilharzia regenti
Lineage: Eukaryota; Metazoa; Platyhelminthes; Trematoda; Strigeidida; Schistosomatidae
Source: Rfam
GUAUUGAUGAAGAGUCCCAAACCAGGACGAAACAUCCGUCCAGUAC